Molecule: ribosomal RNA, 256 nt
Filed under: uncultured bacterium
Lineage: Bacteria
Description: partial 16S ribosomal RNA
Rfam family: Bacterial small subunit ribosomal RNA
Source: RNAcentral
UGGCGGACGGGUGAGUAAUGUCUGGGAAACUGCCUGAUGGAGGGGGAUAACUACUGGAAACGGUAGCUAAUACCGCAUAACGUCGCAAGACCAAAGAGGGGGACCUUCGGGCCUCUUGCCAUCGGAUGUGCCCAGAUGGGAUUAGCUAGUAGGUGGGGUAACGGCUCACCUAGGCGACGAUCCCUAGCUGGUCUGAGAGGAUGACCAGCCACACUGGAACUGAGACACGGUCCAGACUCCUACGGGAGGCAGCAUG